This 174-nucleotide ribosomal RNA is filed under the name uncultured bacterium. RNAcentral describes it as "partial 16S ribosomal RNA". It matches the Rfam family "Bacterial small subunit ribosomal RNA", at positions 335 to 526 of the family's 1533-position model. The record is from RNAcentral.
ACUCCUACGGGAGGCAGCAGUCGGGAAUUUUGGGCAAUGGGGGAAACCCUGACCCAGCAACGCCGCGUGAAGGAUGAAGUAUUUCGGUAUGUAAACUUCGUAAAAAUGGGAUGAACAAAUGACAGUACCAUUUGUAAGCCCCGGCUAACUACGUGCCAGCAGCCGCGGUAAUAC